This 73-nucleotide transfer RNA is filed under the name Eriosema preptum. Its description in RNAcentral is "tRNA-Glu". Lineage: Eukaryota; Viridiplantae; Streptophyta; Magnoliopsida; Fabales; Fabaceae. The record is from RNAcentral.
GGUUUUUUUCUUUAUUUUACUUUCUUUUGUAUUACUUAUUUUUUUCAUUUUAUUAUUCUAUUAUUAACGAUUG